Long non-coding RNA from Sycon ciliatum, 598 nucleotides. RefSeq lists it as uncharacterized. The record is from RefSeq and is a predicted model, not a curated record. NCBI's taxonomy places the organism in Eukaryota, Metazoa, Porifera, Calcarea, Leucosolenida, Sycettidae. The transcript is spliced from 2 exons.
AAUUACUUUGGUGUUUUGCAGCUCUAUUUCGUUCCCUGACGGUAACCAAAUCUAGAUGUAGGAAUCUGUUGAGCAGGAGAGUGACACAUGUCUUCCCAAAGGCUGUCCAGGCUGCAGUGGUGAUGAAGAAGACACGAUCAUCACCCCGAGAUCGAUUGUAGCGAAUUGGAAAACUCAUGGUGAAUUUGCUUCCACUCCAAGGCAAUGUCGAGAGCCUUGACGUUGCUGGACGAGCGACAAUAUAAAUUACAUAAACAUGUAGCUCAUGAUGUGGAAUGACUGCCGUAUCGCAUUGCCAACGCAAACCCAUCCUGUGUCAGUGCAGCCAUCCAGCAACUUCAACUCCCCGGACCAGAUGCCGCUGCAGCUGAACACCAUGCCGAUGGAAAGCCAGGAGUUGAUAGCAAAGCAUUCUGGUCUGCACAGUACAAGCCGGCAAAGAACAAUUAUGAAUUAUAACGCAUUGUAGUCCUUCCCACACUUCUUUGUAAAAACAAACAAACAGUGCCAUUAUCACAACACUUGAUCAAGCAUCUUGAUGGAGGUAUUUUCCAUUGUGCUGGCCCCGCAUCUGCACCAGGAAGACCAUGUACACUUA